AUGGUUACCCAUCUUCUUUUUGCGGAUGAUAGUAUUGUGUUCCUUGAAGGGUCGGAGAGUAAUCUGCUAACCCUCAAAGAAAUCUUAAGGGACUAUGAGAUGGCUUCAGGACAGAAAGUUAACAUGCAAAAGUCGUCCAUAUUUUUUGGGAAGGGGAGCACGGAGGAGAGUAAAGAUCAGCUCAAGGCGGUCAUUGGCAUCCAGUCAGAAGCACUCAGCGAGAAAUAUUUGGGUUUGCCUACCGCUGUGGGGAGAUCAAAGGAAGGUACGUUUAAAUAUGCCCGAGAGAGUGCCAAAGGAAAGGUCACGGGAUGGAAGGGGCAAGGUUUAUCGAAGAAGGCUCGGGAGGUGUUGGUUAAAUCGGGGCUCCAGUCUACCCCAACUUUCACCAUGAGUUGCUUCCAAAUCACCAAAAAAUUGUGCGGGAAUCUGACAUCUAUCUCUUCUACUUUUGGUGGGGUGAAGCUGACGGUGAGAAAAAGGUACACUGGAUCGCUUGGCAGAAAAUGUGUGCGAGCAAACGCGAGGGUGGAAUGGGUUUUCGGGAUAUGGAGGUUUUUAAUCAAGCGUUAUUGGCAAAGCAAGCGUGGAGGUUUUUGCAAGUCCCCUCCUCUCUUUGUGCACGUGUUCUCAAAGCACGUUAUUUUGAUCAUGGAACAAUCCUUAACGCAACUUGUCCGAGUGGUGGCUCUUACACUUUCAGGAGCAUUUUGUUUGGUCGUGACUUGUUGCUGGAGGGGCUGA
Molecule: ribosomal RNA, 744 nt
Filed under: Triticum aestivum (bread wheat)
Lineage: Eukaryota; Viridiplantae; Streptophyta; Magnoliopsida; Poales; Poaceae
Description: partial small subunit ribosomal RNA
Source: RNAcentral